Molecule: ribosomal RNA, 644 nt
Filed under: uncultured bacterium
Lineage: Bacteria
Description: bacterial SSU rRNA
Rfam family: Bacterial small subunit ribosomal RNA
Source: RNAcentral
GAGUUUGAUCAUGGCUCAGGAUUAACGCUAGCGGCAGGCCUAAUACAUGCAAGUCGUACGGGAUUUCGGGUAGCAAUAUCUGAAUGAGAGUGGCGCACGGGUGCGUAACACGUAUGCAAUCUACCUUUAACUGGGGAAUAGCUCACCGAAAGGUGAAUUAAUACCGCAUAAAAUCACAGAAGGACAUCCUUCAAUGAUUAAACCUACGGGGGUUAAAGAUGAGCAUGCGUCCGAUUAGCUAGUUGGCGGGGUAAUAGCCCACCAAGGCAACGAUCGGUAGGGGGUCUGAGAGGAUGAUCCCCCACACUGGUACUGAGAUACGGACCAGACUCCUACGGGAGGCAGCAGUAAGGAAUAUUGGACAAUGGGGGCAACCCUGAUCCAGCCAUGCCGCGUGAAGGAUUAAGGCCCUAUGGGUCGUAAACUUCUUUUACAGGAGACAAAACCCCUCUACGUGUAGAGGGCUGAUGGUACUCUGAGAAUAAGGGUCGGCUAACUUCGUGCCAGCAGCCGCGGGUAAUACGAAGGACCCGAGCGUUAUCCGGAUUUAUUGGGUUUAAAGGGUGCGUAGGCGGAUUUACAAGUUCAGUGGUGAAAUCUCCCAGCUUAACUGGGAAACUGCCAUCGAAACUAUUUAUCUUGAG